RNAcentral lists this ribosomal RNA (227 nucleotides) under uncultured bacterium. Its description in RNAcentral is "partial 16S ribosomal RNA". It matches the Rfam family "Bacterial small subunit ribosomal RNA", at positions 118 to 346 of the family's 1533-position model. The record is from RNAcentral.
UGGGCAACCUGCCCUCAGCUCUGGGAUAACUCCAAGAAAUUGGGGCUAAUACCGGAUAUGACCGCUGACCGCAUGGUCUGGUGGUGGAAAGAUUUAUGGCUGGGGAUGGGCCCGCGGCCUAUCAGCUUGUUGGUGGGGUAGUGGCCUACCAAGGCGACGACGGGUAGCCGGCCUGAGAGGGUGACCGGCCACACUGGGACUGAGACACGGCCCAGACUCCUACGGGA